This 69-nucleotide transfer RNA is filed under the name Naemorhedus goral. Its description in RNAcentral is "tRNA-Ala". It matches the Rfam family "tRNA". Rfam says of the family: Transfer RNA (tRNA) molecules are approximately 80 nucleotides in length. Their secondary structure includes four short double-helical elements and three loops (D, anti-codon, and T loops). Further hydrogen bonds mediate the characteristic L-shaped molecular structure. tRNAs have two regions of fundamental functional importance: the anti-codon, which is responsible for specific mRNA codon recognition, and the 3' end, to which the tRNAs corresponding amino acid is attached (by aminoacyl-tRNA synthetases). tRNAs cope with the degeneracy of the genetic code in two manners: having more than one tRNA (with a specific anti-codon) for a particular amino acid; and 'wobble' base-pairing, i.e. permitting non-standard base-pairing at the 3rd anti-codon position. Lineage: Eukaryota; Metazoa; Chordata; Mammalia; Artiodactyla; Bovidae. The record is from RNAcentral. RNAcentral also lists the same sequence under 1 other name.
GAGGAUUUAGCUUAAUCAAAGUGGUUGAUUUGCAUUCAAUUGAUGUAAGAUAUGGUCUUGCAAUCCUUA